GUAGUCUCGCACAGAUGCAUAUCAAUAAGCGGAGGAAAAGAAACUAACAAGGAUUCCCCUAGUAACGGCGAGUGAAGCGGGAAGAGCUCAAAUUUGAAAUCUUAAAGGGUUUCCCUUUACGAAUUGUAGUUUAAAGAAGUGUUUUCUGCUGAGGUUUUGGUAAAAGUUCUUUGGAAUAGGACAUCAUAGAGGGUGAGAAUCCCGUAUUUGACCUUUACUUUCAACUUUGUGAUACACUUUCAAAGAGUCGGAUUGUUUGGGAAUGCAGUCCAAAAUGGGUGGUAAAUUUCAUCUAAAGCUAAAUAUUGGCGAGAGACCGAUAGCGAACAAGUACCGUGAGGGAAAGAUGAAAAGAACUUUGAAAAGAGAGUUAAACAGUACGUGAAAUUGUCAAAAGGGAAGCGUUUGACACCAGUGUUGUUUUUCUGAAAAUCAAUUAAAGAACUGUUUAUGCUAAGCUGUUUAGACUUUAUCAGCUAUCUGUUUAGUUUUGAGCUUUUCUUUAAUGCACUUUUCAGUUAACAAGUCAACAUCAAUUUCUUUUGCUGUAAAAAAGCUUGAGGAAGGUGGCUUGAGAUUCGUCUUAAGUGUUUAUAGCCUCUUGCCUAUGCAGUCGGAGAGAUUGAGGUCUGCAGCGUAGAUCCUUCGGGGCUAAAUGCAUUUGUGCUAAGUUAUAGCAUUUUAUAGACAACUUGUUGACUAUGAUUUGUCUUGUAGCAUUACUCGCUUAUGUUAUUUUACCUACGCUUAGGAUGUUGACAGCAGUAUAGACUGU
This 775-nucleotide ribosomal RNA is filed under the name uncultured Neocallimastigales. RNAcentral's name for it is "partial large subunit ribosomal RNA". It matches the Rfam family "Eukaryotic large subunit ribosomal RNA", at positions 24 to 664 of the family's 3401-position model. The record is from RNAcentral. Lineage: Eukaryota; Fungi; Neocallimastigomycota; Neocallimastigomycetes; Neocallimastigales.